GGUAUUAGAAACUAAUAUCUGGGCAUUACUAGUGCUCAUUGCUACUGUGAUACUGUUUCUGAGUCCUCUAGCUGACAGAGAAUGGUAAUGUAUUUGUACAUACUAAUCCAGGUCAUACACAAAUAUCUAUAAAUAUUUCUAUAUUUAAUGGUGUAUGUCUAUAUUCAGCCAAAUAUUAAUUCAUACUAAUGUCUACAACUCUAAUCCAUUGCCACAUGAAUCAUUCCAGCCCUUUUCCCUUACUUAUCUGUAAAUGCCCACUCCAACAGUGGUAAAUCUGGCUCCUGCCUUCCACCAACCAUCCAAUUCGUUGUUCAGUUCUACUCUAUAUGUACAGUGGUAUCAGAACGUUUAACCUGUAGCCAGUGGGAAACAGUGUUAUUAACUAGAAUGCAGUGGCAGUGCUGUGUACAGUUUCUUUUGACUGUGUCUUACAGACUCAACUCAUUUCCAAAGUUGCUUAUGUCAGCACCUUUUCCCCUCCCUCUUCAGUGAGGUUGUGUAAUGCAUUUUUAAUAAAGUUGGUUUUGUCACAUUCUGCAUUCCAUUCUAGGAUUCCCUGACCUCCUAAAUACGAUUUUAAAUUUACAUACAUCAAGAUUUACUUUUUAUCCUCAGUGUAAUGUAUCCACAUUGUGUCAUACAAAAUAGUUUCACCACCCUAAAAGUUCUGAGCUUCACCUAUUCACUCCCCAACCCCUGAAAAUGGUGAUUUUUAUGAUCACUGUUUUUGCCAUUUUCAGAAUGUCAUAUAAUGGAAAUCAUACAGUAUCAGUCUUUUCAGAUGGGCUUCCUUCAGUUAACAACAUGCAUUUAAGAUUCAUCCAUCUCUUUUCUGGCUUAAUAGCUCAUUUCCUUUUAUUACUAAAUAGUAUUUCAUUCUAUGGCUACACCACACUUUCCCUAUCCAUUCACAUAUUGUAGAACAUCUUGGUUACUUCUAGUUUUUAGUGGUUGUGAAUCAGCCUUCUGUAAACUUUUGCAUGUAGAUUUUUUGUGUGGAUGUAAGGUUUCAACUCCUUUGGGUAGAUAUCUAGGAAAGUGAUUGCUGGAUCAUAUGGUGAGAGUAUGUUUAGCUUUUUAGGAAACCAUUAAACUGCCUUCCAAAGUUGACAGUGUCAUUUCGCAUUCCCAUAAACAAUGAGUGAUUGCUCCUAUUGCUCUGCUUCCUCCCCAGUCGUUGGUAUCUCCAGUUUGUUUUUGUAUUUUUGCCUUUCUAAAUAGUGUGUAAUAGUACCUCAUUGCUUUUUGUUGUUGUUGUUGUUUGUUUGUUUUGAGAUGGAGUUUUGCUCUUGUCGCCUAGACUGGAGUGCAGUGGUACAAUCUCAGCUCACUGCAACCUCUGCCUCCUGGGUUCAAGUGAUUCUCCUGCCUUAGCCUCCUGAGUAGCUGGGGCUACAGGCACGCACCACCACGUCUGGCUAAUUUUUUGUAUUUUUAGUAGAGACAGGAUUUCACCAUGUUGGCCAGGCUGUUCUCAAACUCCUGACCUCAAGUGAUCCAUCUGCCUUGGCCUCUCAAAGUGCUGGGAUUACAGGCGUGAACCACCAGGCCCCGCCUCAUUGCCGUUUUAAUCGUAUGAAUUUUUUCUUUCAUGGAUCAUGAUUUUGCUGUUCUAUCAAAAACUUUAUCGCAAAACCCUAGAUUUUCUCUUAUGUUUACUUCUAGAAGUUUUAUCAUUUUGUAUUUUAUAAUUAGGGCCCUGAUACAUUUUCAGUUAAUUUUCAUGAAAGGUAUAAGGUUUGUGUCUGGGUUUUUUUUUUUUGUUUUUUUUUUUUGGUAUAUGUAUGUCCAAUUAUUCCAGCCCCAUUUUUGAAAAGACUUUUUUUUUUCAUUGACUUGCCUUUGUUCCUUUGUUAAAGAUCAGCAGACUCUGCAUAGAUUAAUUUCUGGGCUCUCAAUUCUGUUUCAUUGACCUAUCUACCUAUUCUUUUAAAUAUAUGCUGUCUUGAUUAUUAUAGCUUUAUAGUGAGUCUUGAAAUUUGGUAAUAAAAGGGCUCAACUUUGUUCUUCUUCGGUAGUGUAUUGACUAUUCUAGGCCAAUUCUAGGAAGGUCUUUGUCCUUCCCUUAUAUUUUAGCUUCUGUUUGUUGAUAUCUACAAAAGGACUUGCAGAUAUUUGAAUUGUAAUUCCAGUAAAUCUGUAGACAAAGUCUGGGAUAAUUGACAUCUUAAUAUUAUUGAGUGUUCCCAUUCAUGAACAUGGACUAUCAUUCUCGAUAUUGAGCUUUACUUUGAUUUCUUUCACCUGAGUUUUAUAGUUUUCUGCACAUAGUUCCUGUUCACAUUUGUCCAUAUGUAUGCCUAGUUAUUUUAUUUUUGGUGAUGCCGUAAGUGGUGUUAUGUUAUUAAUUUCACAUCCUAAUGUCUUAUUUCUGGUACAUAGAAAAACAAUAGACAUUUCCAUAUUGUGGUAGGGUUAAUUAUAGCCCCUCAAAAGAAACUCACAUACUAAUCCUUGGAAUCCAUUGCUAUGUUAUCUUAUAUGACAAAAGGGACUUUCCCAAUAUAAUUACAUUAAGAAUCUUGAGAUAGGGAGAUUAUUUGGGGUUAUCUGGGUGUACCCAAUGUAAUUACAAGGGUCUACAUAAGAGGAAGGCAAAAGAGCAAAAUCAGAGCUGCCAAUGUCAUAAAGCUAUGCUGAUUAUUUGAUGAUGAAGAGAGGGGCCAUGAACCAAGGAAUACAGGUGGCCUCUAGAGUGAUGAUGGGUGCCUAUAAUCUCAGCUACUCGGGAGGCUGAGGCAGGAGAAUCAUUUGAACCUGGGAGGCGGAGCUUGCAGUGAGCUGUGAUUGCACCAUUGCACUCCAGUCUGGGUCACAGGGCAAGACUCCAUCUCAAAAAAAAGAAAGAAAAAAAGAAACAAAAACAAAAUUUCUAAUGAAACCAUUUGGGCCUGCUGUUUUCUUUUUGGAAGGUUAUUAGUUAUGUUCAGUGUCUUUAAUACAAAUACACCUGUCAAGAUAAUCCAUUUCUUCUUGUACAAGUUGGUCUAUUUCACGGAAUUGGUGCAUUUCAUCUAAGCCAGAGGUCCUCAACCCUUGGGCAAUGGACAGGUCCCAAUCCAUGGCCUGUUAGUAAAAGGGCCACACAGCAGGAGGUGAGUAGUGGAAUUUGUAGUACAUUUAUUUUUUUCUUGGUUACCUUAACUAGAGAUUUAUCAAUCAAUUUUAUUGAUUUUUUUAAAGAACAGCAUUUCAUUUCUUUGAUAUUCUCAAUUGUUUUCCUGUUUUAGAUAUUAUCAAUUUCUGCUCUAAUUUUUUUAUGCUUUUCUUCUAUAACUUCAGAUGAUCAAUUUUGGAUCUUCUUCUCUUAUAUAUUCAGUAAUACUAUUAAUUUCUGUCUAAGCACUGCUUUCAUUGCAUCCUACAAAUUUUGAUAAAUUGCAUUUUCAUUUUUCUUUAAUUCAAAAUAUUUUAUAUUUCUCUUGAGCCUACUUAUUUAGAUCGUGCGAUAUUUAGAAUUGUGUUAUUUAAUCUCUGCUAUAGGUUAAAUGAUUGUCGCCUCAAAAUCUCAUGUUCAAAUUUGAUCCCAGUGUUGGAGAUGGGGCUUCAUGGGAGGCAUUUGGGUCUUGGAGGUGGAUCUCUCCUGAAUAGAGUAAUGCCCUCCCUUGGUGGGUGGAUGAGCACAUUCUCACUCCAUUGGUUCCCACAAAAGCUGGUUGUUAAAUAGAGCCUGACCCCUCCCUCUUCUCUCUCUUGCCUUCCCUCUCACCACGUGAUCACUGAACAUGCUGGCUGCCCUUCACCUUCUGCCUGAAUUACUAAAAAAGAAGUUUGAAGUCUCCAACUGCAAUAGUGAAUUUGUAUAUUUCUCCAUGCCUAUAAUCCCAGCACUUUGGGAGGCUGAGGCAGGCAGAUCACCUGAGGUCAGGAGUUCAAGGCCAGCCUAGCCAACAUGGUGAAACCCCAUCUCUAUAAAAAUACAAAAAUUAGCCAGGCAUGAUGGCAGAUGCCUGUAAUCCCAGCUACAUGGGAGGCUGAGGCAGGAGAAUCACUUGAACCCAGGAGGAGGAGCUUGCAGUGAGCCAUGAUCAUAUCACUGCACUCCAGCCUGGGUGACAGAGUGAGACUGCAACUCAAAAAAAAUAUAAAAAUAAAAAUAUUUUAAUGGUAGCCUGAGUUUCCAACAUACAUUUUAAGUAAUCUAACUCCACCUUUAAAUGACACUAUGCCACCAUCAUUGCUGUCAUUCACUUCACUAAUCAUAUGAUACCAUCAUCGUAUUAUUACUUUAAAUAGUUAUUUUUAGAUCAAUUAAGAAUAAGAAAAGAAAAAAAGAUUUUCUUUUACCUUUAUUUAUUCCUUCUUUGGCACUCUUCCUUUGUUACGCAGAUUUGAGUUUCUGAACUUUAUCACCUUCCUUUUCCGUGAGGAACUUCUUUUAAUAUUUUCUUACAGGGAAGGUCUGAUGGUGAUUAUUUCCCUCAGCAUUUGUCUGAGGAAGUCUUUAUUUCUCAAGUUUGUAUUUUUUUUCUUUAUUUUAGCAUUUAAAUACUUCACUCCAGUCUUCUUGCUUCUGUGUUUCUGAUGGGAAGUCUAAUUUAAUUCUUGUCCUGUUUUGCUGUAAGUCAGGUUACUUUUUCUCUGACUCCUUUGAAGAUUUUCUUUUUGUCUUUGGUUUUCUGAAGUUUGUGUAUAAUUGUUUUGGUAUUUCUCCUGUUUACUGUUCUCUACUUCUUGACUUGUGAUUUGCUGUGGUUAAUUUGGGAAAAUCCUCUGACAGUGUUACUUCAAAUAUUUCUUUAGUUUCUUGUUCUUGUUCUUCUCCUUCUGGUAUUCCAAAUAGAUGUAUAUUAUACUUUCGAAAUUAUUUCUGUUGACUUAUCUUCAAGCUUACUCAUUCUUUCCUCAAACUUGUUCUGUUGAUGAACCUAUUGAAGACAUUCUUUAUUUAUGUCAGUGAUUUUUAUUAUUUCUAGCAUUUCCUUUUGAUUGUUUCCUAGAGUUUCCAUCACUCUUCUUACAUUACACAUCUAUUUUUGCAUGUUGACUGUUUCCUCCAUUAGAGUCUUUAAAAUCUAAAACAGUUAUUUUAAAUUCUCUAUCUGAUAAUUUCCAAAUUUGUGUCAAAUCUGAGUCUGGUUCUGAUGCUUGCUUUGUCUUUCUGACUUGUUUUUUCUUGCUUUUUUUCAUACCUUAAAAUUUUCCAUUAAAACCCAUACAUAAUAUAUUGAAGAGUAAUCAGUGAGGCAAACAGGCCUUUAGUGAGCAUUUUUUGUUGUUAUUAUUAAUCUGGCUGAGAAUCAAGCUAUAUAUAAUGUUUGCUGUAGAUGUAGGUAGCGGUGGCUUCAAAUUCCUCUAGUAUCCUUAUUUUGUCUCCACUCUUGACUUUGGGCAUCCUUAUAUACUCCUCCACAGAGAGUCUGUGUUUUCUGGCUCUUUUAGGUGUAAUCCACAGUUACAUUGGAGCCCUGUUAGUGUGGUGAGAAGGUUGGCAUAGGGGAAGUAUUCUAUACUCUUAUGAUUACAUCACAGUCUUUUAGGGGGUCCAUGUCCCUUACAAGCAUUUCUUAGCUUUGCUUCUCCCCUUACAAGGAACAGGAAGGAUAUUGGUGCCCAGAGUGUGAAAAGUGACCUUACCUCAAGUGGGAUAAGUCUCUGCUAAAGGUUUUAUCCCUCACUGGAGGGUAGGUCUUUGUUAUGGAGAAUAUUCUGGGUAUAUUUCACAAUAACUUCUCUUCCAUGCGCCCCACAUGACCAUGAUGGCAUUUUCUCAACUCUUUACUGUGAGAGCUUGGUGGGGCUUCUGGAGGUAAAAUCCACAACUGUGUGGGAUUCCAAGAGUGUGACCCCAGGAGUUUAUCACUCUCACGCAACUCCACACUAGCGCUCCGGAAAAUCAUCAGCAUUACCACUGAAGUGCUACCAAGAGUUUGUUUCUAGUGGUUUCUGCACCGGGUAAACAGAUCUCAGCUGUGACUCCCCUAAUUCAUCUAUCUUUGCAGAUUUCUGGGUGGCUGUUUGCUGUAGGAACUUCAUUCUCAUUUGGAUACACGAAUUGUCACUGAUUUUCAGUUCACUCAGGUUCUUCUUGUGGUAAGAGUGGAAGCAAUGACUUUUAAGAACUUUACACAUUGGAGUUAAAGCCAGAUGUCUCUUAAUGUACCUUUUUUUGACCUUAUGCUCUCCUGUUUUAUUCUUCCCUCACUUUAUGGCUCUUCUAUCAUGCUAUAAGCAGCAAGAGAAAAAUAGUGUCUUCCCCACUGCCCAGAAAUCUCCUUAGCCAUGUAGCCAAGUCUAUCAGGUAUAUCUUCUGUUUUCAGCAUAACUGCAGACCACAUUAGCACUAGGCUUUUGUCAUAUCAUAAUAAACAUCUCUCUUCCAAUGAGAUCACAGGGAGCCAUCUCAGAAUCAGCCUACUAUAACUCCCAUCACUAUUUUAUAUGAUUAAUACAAAGGCCAGUAAAUUCAGUGCCAUGUGGCCAGCUUUACUAAUAAAUCAUAUUUUUGAUGGUAAAAUCUGUAGCUUACAGAUAUGAUUGUAUUCAUUAGAGAUCCAUUUUUCGUCCUGGAUAAGCAAGACAACACAAUAGAUUACACAACGUUAGGCUUGAAGAAACAAAGUACAAGGGAGGUGAGGGGUCCUCAACAUUUCUCUUUUCCUCCAUCGCUGCCCAUUCCCAGACUCUCUCCCACAGCUCACUCUCCUUCUGGACACCUGCGAGUUCUGUCCUUGCUUCUCUGCAAUGUAGCUGUUGCUUUCAACACCCCGAAGCAUCUUUGCUAUGGCUCUUAAGCUGAAACAAACGCAGACCACCCCAAGCCUCAUGUGAUAGAGGAAUCCUCAAAGCUGAAAUCUGCCUUCCAUAUCUCAUAGGGUGGUCACGGUAACGCCCUGGAAGAACUCCAAGUACCUAGAGAGGAACAAUGAAGGCCUCUGCUGCUGUGCUUUGGAAUCCACGGCAGCAUUUGCGUGCAAUCACACCUUCCUACUCCUAGCCAAUAACGGGAGUAUGGCAGGGAUACUAGCGCAGGCCUCGCCCUGGCAGGUGUGGGACCUUGCUGGUAGCCAGCUCUGGUUCAAGGACUU
Molecule: long non-coding RNA, 7031 nt
Filed under: Homo sapiens (human)
Lineage: Eukaryota; Metazoa; Chordata; Mammalia; Primates; Hominidae
Description: non-protein coding lnc-LRRC61-5:1
Source: RNAcentral